RNAcentral lists this ribosomal RNA (500 nucleotides) under uncultured bacterium. RNAcentral's name for it is "partial 16S ribosomal RNA". It matches the Rfam family "Bacterial small subunit ribosomal RNA", at positions 30 to 523 of the family's 1533-position model. The record is from RNAcentral.
AUUGAACGCUGGCGGCAUGCCUUACACAUGCAAGUCGAACGGCAGCACGGGAGCAAUCCUGGUGGCGAGUGGCGAACGGGUGAGUAAAGUAUCGGAACGUGCCCAGUCGUGGGGGAUAACGUAGCGAAAGUUACGCUAAUACCGCAUACGAUCUAUGGAUGAAAGCGGGGGAUCGCAAGACCUCGCGCGAUUGGAGCGGCCGAUAUCAGAUUAGGUAGUUGGUGGGGUAAAGGCUCACCAAGCCGACGAUCUGUAGCUGGUCUGAGAGGACGACCGGCCACACUGGGACUGAGACACGGCGCAGACUCCGACGGGAGGCAGCAGUGGGGGAUUUUGGACAAUGGGCGAAAGCCUGAUCCAGCCAUGCCGCGUGCAGGAUGAAGGCCUUCGGGUUGUAAACUGCUUUUGUACGGAACGAAAAGGUUUGGCCUAAUAAGCUGAGCUCAUGACGGUACCGUAAGAAUAAGCACCGGCUAACUACGUGCCAGCCGCCGCCGUAA